CCAUCGGUGGUAGUGGUAGAAUGCUCGCCUGCCACGCGGGCGGCCCGGGUUCGAUUCCCGGCCGAUGCA
RNAcentral lists this transfer RNA (69 nucleotides) under Cordylochernes scorpioides. Its description in RNAcentral is "tRNA-Gly". It matches the Rfam family "tRNA". From Rfam's summary of the family: Transfer RNA (tRNA) molecules are approximately 80 nucleotides in length. The record is from RNAcentral. Lineage: Eukaryota; Metazoa; Arthropoda; Arachnida; Pseudoscorpiones; Chernetidae.